UAACGCGUGAGGAACCUGCCUCAAAGAGGGGGACAACAGUUGGAAACGACUGCUAAUACCGCAUAAGCCCAUGGCUCGGCAUCGAGCAGAGGGAAAAGGAGCAAUCCGCUUUGAGAUGGCCUCGCGUCCGAUUAGCUAGUUGGUGAGGUAACGGCCCACCAAGGCGACGAUCGGUAGCCGGACUGAGAGGUUGAACGGCCACAUUGGGACUGAGACACGGCCCAGACUCCUACGGGAGGCAGCAGUGGGGAAUAUUGCACAAUGGGGGAAACCCUGAUGCAGCGACGCCGCGUGGAGGAAGAAGGUCUUCGGAUUGUAAACUCCUGUUGUUGAGGAAGAUAAUGACGGUACUCAACAAGGAAGUGACGGCUAACUACGUGCCAGCAGCCGCGGUAAAACGUAGGUCACAAGCGUUGUCCGGAAUUACUGGGUGUAAAGGGAGCGCAGGCGGGAAGACAAGUUGGAAGUGAAAUCUAUGGGCUCAACCCAUAAACUGCUUUCAAAACUGUUUUUCUUGAGUAGUGCAGAGGUAGGCGGAAUUCCCGGUGUAGCGGUGGAAUGCGUAGAUAUCGGGAGGAACACCAGUGGCGAAGGCGGCCUACUGGGCACCAACUGACGCUGAGGCUCGAAAGUGUGGGUAGCAAACAGGAUUAGAUACCCUGGUAGUCCACACCGUAAACGAUGAUUACUAGGUGU
This 696-nucleotide ribosomal RNA is filed under the name uncultured bacterium. RNAcentral's name for it is "bacterial SSU rRNA". It matches the Rfam family "Bacterial small subunit ribosomal RNA", at positions 111 to 823 of the family's 1533-position model. The record is from RNAcentral.